This 67-nucleotide transfer RNA is filed under the name Wormaldia unispina. RNAcentral describes it as "tRNA-Pro". Lineage: Eukaryota; Metazoa; Arthropoda; Insecta; Trichoptera; Philopotamidae. The record is from RNAcentral.
CAAAGAAUAGUUUAUUAAAAUAAUAAUUUUGGAGAUUAUAGAUAAAAUAUUUAAAUUUUUUCUUUGA